RNAcentral lists this long non-coding RNA (444 nucleotides) under Phascolarctos cinereus (koala). RNAcentral's name for it is "lncRNA (ENSPCIG00000003854.2)". The record is from RNAcentral. Lineage: Eukaryota; Metazoa; Chordata; Mammalia; Diprotodontia; Phascolarctidae.
UGAAAGCAAAUCAGUUGCCAAAAUAUUUGGAGAGGACUGAACCCCACCUCAUAGUCAUUUGGCAAAGUUUAUGUCUCUGGGUGAAGUAACAGAAGGGGUGGCAGAGCAGCCUGGCAUCUUUCAUUUGGGCCAAUAAUGCUUGACUGAGGCAUGGUGAGGUAAGUAGGGCAGGAAAGUUAGGAUGCAGAAAGAAGAGGGGAAUAUAUUAUAUUUCUAGCUGUUUUCUCCAUGUUCUAGAUGAGAGUUGGAGACACUGGGGAGAAAGAGAGCAAAGAGUUGAGAACCUGAUAUAUGAUAAGGAAAAUCCAAAGAGGUGGGGACAGAAACUCCAUUGACAUAUUCUGGAAUAUUCCCUCAAGCUCAGAGACUACUUUUUUCUGGAAGGCAAGUUGUGAUGACAUUUAUUUAACCAAUAUUUGCUUCCCUACUAUAUCUUUUUUUUUA